This is a long non-coding RNA of Ruditapes philippinarum (Manila clam), 839 nucleotides long. RefSeq lists it as uncharacterized. NCBI's taxonomy places the organism in Eukaryota, Metazoa, Mollusca, Bivalvia, Venerida, Veneridae. The record is from RefSeq and is a predicted model, not a curated record. The transcript has 4 exons.
UGGCGCUGUUUGGAAAAUUUGAAAACAACAAGAUUGGCAAUUUAUUUGGAUUUCGAAGAUCCUGGUCCUGGCUGAAAUUUAGAGUAUUGCAGCUGUAGCCUGUAUACCAUACAUUCGCUGUAGCCUGUAUACCAUACAUUCAACAUGAAAAGGACUGUCAGGAUGCUGCAUAAAAUAGUCUUAGCUAGCCUAGAGCCUAGAAUGUUAAUUUCUUGGGAAUAUGCUGCAAGGAACUGACGGGGAGCAGUUUUUCUUACCAAUCAUAGAAGCAGUAAGAGACAGCCAAAGAAGUACUCAAACACUUGACAUACCCAGAAAGAUCAAGAAGAAAAGAUUAGAACAGAUUGUAGCUUAAUUGAUAAAACUAUUAAAGUGAAUUUAAGCUGCACUUGAACUGUAUUUUUGAAAUAAAAUAUCUGAAGUAUUUAAUAUUGUCUUCAUAUUUUGUUAAACUUGGUUACUUUGCUUUAUAUCCAAAAAUUAAAGUAUGGUGGGUUUUCAACGUUAAAAUGACAUUAAAACUUCAACGUUGUGCCAACGUUGAAGCUGCAACGUUGUAUCAACGUUGAAAUUAACGUUGUUUCAACUUUCAAAUCCGAAUAUAAAUCCAACCUUAUUUCAACGUUGAAAUCUGACCAAAAUUCAACGUUGAAACAACGUUGAUGUGCCUGCUGGGUGCUAUAGGUUAAUUUUUAUCCCUAAAAUAAGUAUCAAGGUAGGCUGGUAUAGAAUUUCAAAUAUUAAAGGAAUAAGAAUGGAUGGAUUGAUGUCUGUCUAAUAUAAAUAUGCAUCAUUUAAAAAGAGGAACCAUGACAGUUUCCCUAUUGACAUCAACCCUA